AGUGAACGCUGGCGGCAUGCCUUACACAUGCAAGUCGAACGGCAGCGCGGGGCAACCUGGCGGCGAGUGGCGAACGGGUGAGUAAAAUAUCGGAACAUACCCUAGAGUGGGGGAUAACGUAGCGAAAGUUACGCUAAUACCGCAUACGCACUAAGGUGGAAAGUGGGGGAUCUUCGGACCUCAUGCUCAUGGAGUGGCCGAUAUCUGAUUAGCUAGUUGGUGAGGUAAAGGCUCACCAAGGCAACGAUCAGUAGCUGGUUUGAGAGAACGACCAGCCACACUGGAACUGAGACACGGUCCAGACUCCUACGGGAAGCAGCAGUGGGGAAUUUUGGACAAUGGGGGCAACCCUGAUCCAGCAAUGCCGCGUGAGUGAAGAA
This 380-nucleotide ribosomal RNA is filed under the name uncultured bacterium. RNAcentral describes it as "bacterial SSU rRNA". It matches the Rfam family "Bacterial small subunit ribosomal RNA", at positions 29 to 412 of the family's 1533-position model. The record is from RNAcentral.